Long non-coding RNA from Sander lucioperca (pikeperch), 577 nucleotides. RefSeq lists it as uncharacterized. The record is from RefSeq and is a predicted model, not a curated record. NCBI's taxonomy places the organism in Eukaryota, Metazoa, Chordata, Actinopteri, Perciformes, Percidae. The transcript has 3 exons.
AGAUCUGAAAACCUUACUGACCACUCUAGCAUCAAAGGUCUGGAUUGGAGAGACUCCCAGCUGUAAUAUGAUCAAUGUAUGCAGAGAAAACAUAAUGGAUGGUGCCAUCUGAGCCUUUGCAAGGAGUUUCAAUCCAGAAGCCAAAUUAAGUGUCAUAUUUAUGGAUGACUUCAUGCAAGCAGAGGGUUCAGUGGACGAGGGGGGCCCUACACGGGAGUUUUUCCGACUGCUUAUGAUAGCUCUCAGAGACAGCACCCUAUUUACAGGGCCACAGAACACAUUACACAGAGGUCUCUACAGAACAUAUGGAGUGAUGGCUGUCGCACUGGUGCAUGGAGGAGUGUUACCUUCUUUUUUUUCCGAGAGGCUCUACCAAAACCUUUGCUCUACACCUACAUCACCACCCACUCUCGAAGAAGUAGCAGAUCAGGAUUUGCAGUUGAAACUCAAAAAGAUCAGUGAGGCAGUUGAUAUUACAGCGGCUAGAGCUGCCAUUGAGGAAGCUGCGGAGAGCCUGUCCUUGUAUCACCACCAUGGAGGGACGGGACCAGUUGGUUCAGGCUGCCACAAGUUUCUA